Helianthus annuus (common sunflower) is the source of this 1659-nucleotide long non-coding RNA. RefSeq lists it as uncharacterized. The transcript has 5 exons. The record is from RefSeq and is a predicted model, not a curated record. Lineage: Eukaryota; Viridiplantae; Streptophyta; Magnoliopsida; Asterales; Asteraceae.
UGUAAACUCUUUUGGGCUGACAAGCUAAAUCUCCAUUUAGCCCUCCUCACCAUCAACGAUAGAGAGAGAAGAGAGAACGGAGGAAGGGCCGCUGCCAACGGUUGUGAUUCACGACGGGGAUGCGACGCUCAUAACAGCGGUGGAUUUCAGAAAAAAGAGAAAGCGGACGGAGCACUGGUUAGGGUUUCCACAAUCCGCUAUCCGUUCACCAGUAUCAUCCCUCCGAUAGCACUCUAGAAACGGUGGUUUAUUGGGUAACAAAUAAGAGGGUUAUGUAUCUCAGAACAGAGAGAUGACGGUGAUGAUUCAGAUAUCGGGAUUCCGGCGAGGUCUAGCAAACCCUCCAGUCACAAAACAAAAACUUAUGUAAGAUUUAAGAUGAUACUUACAUAAUUGACUGGAUGGCCGGUCGGAUACACUAAGCAAAGAGAGAAGAUGGCCGGUUGGAUACACAACUUGGCGGACCCCUGUUUCCGAAGACGACGAAAGCCGCUGCAAAUUUGACUGUUAAUUUCAUGUGGUUCAUCUUAGUGAUAUUGCUACCUUAGACCCUAGAAAUCGUCUUUACUGUCGAAUAGUAGUCCUGCUUGCUGUCGUUGUGAUAGUUGCUCGAAGCCAGGAAGGAACAUUGGGGUACAAAUUCCUAGAGGAUAAAGUGUUAUUAUUGGGUCUAGAGUGUUAAUUUUAUCGGUUUAGUGUUUUUAGAAAUAAUGAUUAUGAAUGGUGAUAAUUUUUUAGCCAAAUCAAUCUUUAAGUAUUGCUACCACAGACCGUAGAUAUCCUCUUUACUUCUGACUUUUUUACAUAUUAUUGAUCAUGUUUGUUGCAGCAUGUUAUCAAUGCUAUUGGAAAAAUCAACUUGGUGGUCUAAUUUUUGUUUUCACCAUUGUACUUUGUGCGUAUUUGCUUUUUGAAUUUAUUUUGUAAUCUUACAUCUGGUUUAUGCAUGUUUGUUUAAGUUUGGUUGUUGGUUUUGUUGUAUCGUCUUAAUUUUAGGUGUGGGUGGUGCUGUCGGUUUUCCAUUGCUUUCGCAUUUGUGGUCGAUUUAAAGUGGUUGACUUGAAAGCCAUUGUCUGUAUCGUGUUUCUGAGCUGGCUGCAACUAAAAGGGAUGGAUGAUAUAUUGGCAAGUGUGUGAAGGUUUUAGAAAUGAGUGGCCUAAAGCUUUUACAUUGAACCAGAUUAAGCUGCUGACAACAAUCUCUACUGUUGUUGAUCUCAACUACCUGGAGAAAGCGAUCACAUAAUUUAUCGUAAAUGUGGCAGACGGGAGGCGCGUAUCGUUCAGCUUGUAGGAGAAAAAAAGGUUGCUCAAACUUGUGGAUGAAUCCCAGGAUUUGUACAAAAGGAAACACUUGAGAGAGUUGGCUAUUCUAAAGAACCUUCGAUGGCACAACACGCAACCAAGAGGCAGUGUGUCUCCUUUUGGUUCCAACAGAAUAAAACGUGCCAAAACCAGGUUCCGAGGAACCCGACAUCGUACUCGGGCUACUUUAAAACUACAGAUGAAAGAAGGGUUACUCAGACUUUAGUAAUAGUUACUGUAUUUAUUCGUCAUCAACCUGUAUUUAUUAGUGUAUACAAUUAUUUAUAUAGCGUUGUACUUAUAGUUGUUACUCGGAUUUUGAUGACGAAAGAAGUAUGAUAAGCUUAAACAAAA